RNAcentral lists this transfer RNA (94 nucleotides) under Candidatus Aalborgicola bjergmarkensis. RNAcentral's name for it is "tRNA-OTHER". It matches the Rfam family "tRNA". From Rfam's summary of the family: Transfer RNA (tRNA) molecules are approximately 80 nucleotides in length. Their secondary structure includes four short double-helical elements and three loops (D, anti-codon, and T loops). Lineage: Bacteria; Pseudomonadati; Pseudomonadota; Betaproteobacteria; Burkholderiales; Comamonadaceae. The record is from RNAcentral.
GCAUGGAUAGCUCAGUCGGUAGAGCGACGGCCUGCGGAUUGGGGGUUUUGCCCAAAGCCGUGCGUCGGUGGUUCAACUCCACCUCCGUGCACCA